GAGCUGACAGAGAUGGACCAUCGAAAAGCCAGGGUCCUCCCAGCUGGGCACUACUGCCCCUCGCUAGGAAUAUGGUCCUCGCAUGUCGGCAGCGUGAGGUCCUCUGUGCCACCUUCCAUCAGGUAGCUGUCACCGAGGAGCAUGUUGUUGCAGUGCCGGGUGGGGGCUGCCUUGCAUGCAAGGAGCCUGGCAGUAGCGGAGGGCAAGGCUUUGAGUGAGGCGGCCCCGACAGCCAUAGCUGAGGAGCAUGGAGCCACUGGGAGGGGGCAGUGUCACCUUUUUUGGCCUUCUUCUUCUGUGGAAAUACAGCGCCUCCGGCUUGAACCUGCCACUCAGGUGUCUUGAUGUGCCGGGGGUGUGGCUGCCUGCCCCCUGAUGCUCCCUGCCCCACCCCGUGCAGCAGGAACCCAGCCAUGGUGAACGAAGCCAGAGGAAACAGCAGCCUCAACCCCUGCUUGGAGGGCAGUGCCAGCAGUGGCAGUGAGAGCUCCAAAGACAGUUCGAGAUGUUCCACCCCGGGCCUGGACCCCGAGCGGCAUGAGAGACUCCGAGAGAAGAUGAGGCGGCGAUUGGAAUCUGGUGACAAGUGGUUCUCCCUGGAAUUCUUCCCUCCUCGAACUGCUGAGGGAGCUGUCAAUCUCAUCUCAAGGUUUGACCGGAUGGCAGCAGGCGGCCCCCUCUACAUAGAUGUGACCUGGCACCCAGCAGGUGACCCUGGCUCAGACAAGGAGACCUCCUCCAUGAUGAUCGCCAGCACCGCCGUGAACUACUGUGGCCUGGAGACCAUCCUGCACAUGACCUGCUGCCGUCAGCGCCUGGAGGAGAUCACGGGCCAUCUGCACAAAGCUAAGCAGCUGGGCCUGAAGAACAUCAUGGCGCUGCGGGGAGGUGUGGAGCCAGCACUCCCCUACACUCUGGGUUCUGGCUUUCCCAGAGGCCGCUUGGUAGCCUGAACUUGGUUCCUGAAAUGGUCCUUUACUUCUUCCUGGGCCCCAUGCUGAGGAUCCGCAGGAUCCCAUCCCUGCCAGUAGUGUCAGUAGGCAUUGUGGUUAGUGAGUCAUCCUGGGCACCACACACAGGCAGCCACCUCUUCCACCUCUUGACCUCGACGUAGGAGUUCCGUCGGGAAUGGAGUCGCGGCCUGAUAACCCUCUGCCUUGCCUACACCACUGCAUCGAUUGCUGGCUGCACCCGGCACUUGGCCCAAUCACAGAGUAACAGAGUAUCUGGGAGUGAGAAUAGCCGGUUAGGCCUCUGGUGCCUGCUGUUGUCAGGCCACCCAAGAGUGGGAAGAGGGAGCCUGAUGGGUAGGAUCCUAUGGCCUCAUGCUCCCCACCACAAGACCCCUUCACUUGAGAUGAGUAGAAAAUUCUCCCAGGAGGCAGGAGCCCCAAGGCCGUGGGAUGGGAGAGGGUGGCAAGCGUGCCCAGGUAGAAGUAGGGAAGGGAUCUCCAAUCCUGCAGGCACAGUGAGGAGCAGCGGUGGUCUCCUAUUCUCCACCGCCAGCACAGGGUCAGGAUGCAGUGAAUAUUGAACUGGUGGGCCGCUUUUUUCCCUCCUGCUGUCUUACCAAGUGCUAGAAAGUGAAGAACCAAACCUAAAUAAUAUGAAGUUUCUGCCUUCCAGGGACUCGCAGUCCUGGGUGUCGGGGCUAGGUAGAGGGAACAGAAAGGGUCUCUGGAGGUUGGGUGAGACCCAGUGACCAUGACCUCCACCAACCCUGCAGACCCCAUAGGUGACCAGUGGGAAGAGGAGGAGGGAGGCUUCAACUACGCGGUGGACCUGGUGAAGCACAUCCGAAGUGAGUUUGGUGACUACUUUGACAUCUGUGUGGCAGGUGAGUGGCUGGAUCAUCCUGGUGGCGGGGAUGGAGCUAGGGAGGCUGAGAUGCCCAGAGAGCCUGUCGGUGUUCGGUUCAGGACACAGUGAUCAGAUGCACCCAUGGGUCCGUGCUGGAUGAGGGACAUGCAGAGGUGAACUGCACCGUGUCCUUGCUCCUUUUGUAUCACCCACUCCCCUCCUGGGCCUGCCACCAUCGACCCCUAGCUUUUUGUUCUUCUGCCUGGCUGUGCCCUUAGCCUAUUUGGCCCUAUUCUUUCUUUAAAACAAAAGGGGUCUGGGCGUGGUGGCUCACGCCUGUAAUCCCAACACUUUGGGAGGCCGAGGCAGGCAGAUCACCUGAGGUCAGGAGUUCAAGACCAGCCUGGCCAACAUGGCGAAACCCCGUCUCUACUAAAAAUACAAAAAUUAGCCG
This 2254-nucleotide small RNA is filed under the name Pongo abelii (Sumatran orangutan). Its description in RNAcentral is "retained intron". The record is from RNAcentral. Lineage: Eukaryota; Metazoa; Chordata; Mammalia; Primates; Hominidae.